ACUUAAAGGAUUUGGCGGUACUCAAGUCUAGUUAGGGGAACCUGCUCUAUAAACGAUAUGCCACGUAUUAUCUUUCUUCCUUUUGUUUCUCGGUCUGUAUACCGCCAUUAUUAGGUGAUUUUGAUAAAUAUAUACUGAAAUAGGGGCAUCCCUAAAAUAUUAGGUCAAGGUGCAGCUUAUAGGGAAGUUGAAGUGGGUUACAUUUUAAUUUAUAAGGUCGAAUAUUUUAUUUAUAGUAUUUUUGAAGAUGGACUUAAUUGUAAUUAUGUUUUAACAUGGCAUUAUGAUAUUAGCUCUAGGGUAUGU
RNAcentral lists this ribosomal RNA (306 nucleotides) under Gnathophyllum americanum. Its description in RNAcentral is "partial 12S ribosomal RNA". Lineage: Eukaryota; Metazoa; Arthropoda; Malacostraca; Decapoda; Palaemonidae. The record is from RNAcentral.